This 432-nucleotide long non-coding RNA is filed under the name Sus scrofa (pig). RNAcentral describes it as "lncRNA (ENSSSCG00065026438.1)". The record is from RNAcentral. Lineage: Eukaryota; Metazoa; Chordata; Mammalia; Artiodactyla; Suidae.
UUUCUCCCCUCUUAGGUCUGUCUGGGAAAGUCAGUGUUGUUUUCUGUCUGAGGAUAAUUAACCCACUGGGUCUUGAAUUUCCUAGAUGGGGGUCCACGAACAGCUCCUCUUUAGUUUGUGCUUACUGGGUACCAUACAGGCGUGGGCUAAUUCACCCUGUGACUCUGGAUCACUCAUUUACUUCUCACAUCAGCCUUCUGACACAGGUGGUGUUCUUCCAGUCUCACAGCUGCCAGAAUUGGUUCCGUCUUCCCAUUCCCCCAGGGAAAGAGUGAGAAUGUGGCAGUGUCAAAAAAUCAUGGUGGUGGAGUUCCUACUGUGGCUCAGCAGUAAUGAACCAGGCUAGUAUCUUUGAAGACGCUGGUUCGAUCCCUGGCCUCGCUCAGUGGGUUAAGGAUCUGAAGUUACCAUCAACUGUGGUGUAAGUCGCAG